GUUAUAAUCGGCAUUAUUGUGUAUUGGAUACUAAAAUUAGUUGAUUCCUCCUUUCCACUUUGUUUGGCACUUCCCUUAUUUUCUUGUUCCAAAAAGAAUUGCACAUUCUUAUAUCUCUUAAUGAGAAGUUUUUGUAGCCACACCAAUGUUAUAACAUGUUUACAACUUCAAAAAUUUAUAGCCACACAAAUUUUAUUCCAUAUUUAAGAUCACAAGUUGUUGCUG
This 225-nucleotide unclassified non-coding RNA is filed under the name Hevea brasiliensis (rubber tree). The record is from RNAcentral. Lineage: Eukaryota; Viridiplantae; Streptophyta; Magnoliopsida; Malpighiales; Euphorbiaceae.